This 495-nucleotide ribosomal RNA is filed under the name uncultured bacterium. RNAcentral's name for it is "partial 16S ribosomal RNA". It matches the Rfam family "Bacterial small subunit ribosomal RNA", at positions 28 to 523 of the family's 1533-position model. The record is from RNAcentral.
GAUGAACGCUAGCGGGAGGCCUAACACAUGCAAGCCGAGCGGUAUUGUUUCUUCGGAAAUGAGAGAGCGGCGUACGGGUGCGUAACACGUGUGCAACCUGCCUUUAUCUGGGGGAUAGCCUUUCGAAAGGAAGAUUAAUACUCCAUAAUAUAUUGAACGGCAUCGUUUAAUAUUGAAAGCUCCGGCGGAUAGAGAUGGGCACGCGCAAGAUUAGCUAGUUGGUGAGGUAACGGCUCACCAAGGCGAUGAUCUUUAGGGGGCCUGAGAGGGUGAUCCCCCACACUGGAACUGAGACACGGACCAGACUCCGACGGGAGGCAGCAGUGAGGAAUAUUGGUCAAUGGGUGCAAGCCUGAACCAGCCAUCCCGCGUGAAGGGCGACUGCCCUAUGGGUUGUAAACUUCUUUUGUAUAGGGAUAAACCUACCCUCGUGAGGGUAGCUGAAGGUACUAUACGAAUAAGCACCGGCUAACUCCGUGCCAGCCGCCGCCGUAA